GAUGAACGCUAGCGGGAGGCCUAACACAUGCAAGCCGAGCGGUAGAGUUUCUUCGGAAACUUGAGAGCGGCGCACGGGUGCGUAACACGUGUGCAACCUACCUUUAUCUGGGGGAUAGCCUUUCGAAAGGAAGAUUAAUACCCCAUAAUAUAAUGAUUGGCAUCAAUUAUUAUUGAAAACUCCGGUGGAUAGAGAUGGGCACGCGCAAGAUUAGAUAGUUGGUGAGGUAACGGCUCACCAAGUCAAUGAUCUUUAGGGGUCCUGAGAGGGAGAUCCCCCACACUGGUACUGAGACACGGACCGGACUCCUACGGGAGGCAGCAGUGAGGAAUAUUGGACAAUGGGUGAGAGCCUGAUCCAGCCAUCCCGCGUGAAGGAUGACGGUCCUAUGGAUUGUAAACUUCUUUUGUACAGGGAUAAACCUACCCUCGUGAGGGUAGCUGAAGGUACUGUACGAAUAAGCACCGGCUAACUCCGUG
Molecule: ribosomal RNA, 479 nt
Filed under: uncultured bacterium
Lineage: Bacteria
Description: partial 16S ribosomal RNA
Rfam family: Bacterial small subunit ribosomal RNA
Source: RNAcentral